RNAcentral lists this long non-coding RNA (256 nucleotides) under Capsicum annuum. Its description in RNAcentral is "long non-coding RNA (CANN_LNC008981)". The record is from RNAcentral. Lineage: Eukaryota; Viridiplantae; Streptophyta; Magnoliopsida; Solanales; Solanaceae.
GGGUCGAGACACCCUGUUGUGUGAUCUUAUGUGUCUUUCCCUCACUUAUACUCUAAUCUCAGCGGCAACCGAUGUUUGACAGUUGGUGUAAAUGUGAUAUGUAGGAUAUUCCACCUAGCUCAGCUGCAUUACAUUGUUGUUAAAAAUAAUUACAUUACGCCCAUGUGUUUUCAAAUGAUUUGAUAUGAAACUGCUUUAUAAUGGCUCUCAACUAUAUUUUGUAAAAAUAUUAUGUUUUGUUUUGAUAUCUCUGGGU